This 261-nucleotide ribosomal RNA is filed under the name uncultured archaeon. RNAcentral's name for it is "partial 16S ribosomal RNA". It matches the Rfam family "Archaeal small subunit ribosomal RNA", at positions 748 to 1009 of the family's 1478-position model. The record is from RNAcentral.
UAGGCGUAAAUGAUGCGAGUUAAGUGUGGGGCAUCUACGAGAUGGCCCUGUGCUGUAGGGUAGCCGUUAAACUCGCUGCCUGGGGAGUACGGUCGCAAGGCUGAAACUUAAAGGAAUUGGCGGGGGGAGCACCACAAGGGGUGGAGCUUGCGGUUUAAUUGGAUUCAACGCCGGAAAUCCUACCGGGACCGACAGCAACAUGAAGGCCAGGUUGAUGACCUUGCUUGACAAGCUGAGAGGUGGUGCAUGGCGUAGUCGUGU